RNAcentral lists this ribosomal RNA (492 nucleotides) under uncultured bacterium. Its description in RNAcentral is "partial 16S ribosomal RNA". It matches the Rfam family "Bacterial small subunit ribosomal RNA", at positions 29 to 507 of the family's 1533-position model. The record is from RNAcentral.
AGUGAACGCUGGCGGUAGGCCUAACACAUGCAAGUCGAACGGCAGCACAGUAAGAGCUUGCUCUUACGGGUGGCGAGUGGCGGACGGGUGAGGAAUACAUCGGAAUCUACUUUUUCGUGGGGGAUAACGUAGGGAAACUUACGCUAAUACCGCAUACGACCUACGGGUGAAAGCAGGGGAUCUUCGGACCUUGCGCGAUUGAAUGAGCCGAUGUCGGAUUAGCUAGUUGGCGGGGUAAAGGCCCACCAAGGCGACGAUCCGUAGCUGGUCUGAGAGGAUGAUCAGCCACACUGGAACUUAGACCCGGUCCAGACUCCUACGGGAGGCAGCAGUGGGGAAUAUUGGACAAUGGGCGCAAGCCUGAUCCAGCCAUACCGCGUGGGUUAAGAAGGCCUUCGGGUUGUAAAGCCCUUUUGUUGGGAAAGAAAAGCAGCAGGUUAAUACCCCGCUGUUCUGACGGUACCCAAAGAAUAAGCACCGGCUAACUUCGUG